RNAcentral lists this RNase P RNA (322 nucleotides) under Canis lupus (wolf). It matches the Rfam family "Nuclear RNase P". Rfam says of the family: Ribonuclease P (RNase P) is a ubiquitous endoribonuclease, found in archaea, bacteria and eukarya as well as chloroplasts and mitochondria. Its best characterised activity is the generation of mature 5'-ends of tRNAs by cleaving the 5'-leader elements of precursor-tRNAs. Lineage: Eukaryota; Metazoa; Chordata; Mammalia; Carnivora; Canidae. RNAcentral also lists the same sequence under 2 other names. The record is from RNAcentral.
AGGGCGGCGGGAAGCUCAGCGGUGGGGCCACGCGCGGAGUGCGCGUCACUCUCUCGGCCCCUGGGAAGGUCUGAGACUCGGGCCAGCAGCGGCCCUAGCAGGGCCCUCCCCGCGCGCGGGGGGGUGAGUUCCCAGAGAGCGGGCCCCGGAGAGGGCCUUCGGGCAGGAGAGGCCGCGCGCGCGGCGGAUGCCCCCUCCCCGGGGCUUGGAAUAGACUCACGGCCGGCACGGUGAGUUCAAUGGCUGGGCCGGGGCACCCGAGCAGGCCGGCGUCGGGCCGCGGGGCUCCGGAACCCAAUUCAGACUACUCUCCCCCGCCCGC